AUUGAACGCUAGCGGGAUGCCUUACACAUGCAAGUCGAACGGCAGCGCGGACUUCGGUCUGGCGGCGAGUGGCGAACGGGUGAGUAAUGUAUCGGAACGUGCCCAGUAGCGGGGGACAACCACUCGAAAGAGUGGCUAAUACCGCAUACGCCCUACGGGGAAAGGGGGGAGUCGCAAGACCUCUCACUAUUGGAGCGGCCGAUAUCGGAUUAGCUAGUUGGUGGGGUAAAGGCCUACCAAGGCGACGAUCCGUAGCUGGUUUGAGAGGACGACCAGCCACACUGGGACUGAGACACGGCCCAGACUCCUACGGGAGGCAGCAGUGGGGAAUUUUGGACAAUGGGGAAACCCUGAUCCAGCCAUUCCGCGUGUGCGAUG
RNAcentral lists this ribosomal RNA (378 nucleotides) under uncultured bacterium. RNAcentral describes it as "bacterial SSU rRNA". It matches the Rfam family "Bacterial small subunit ribosomal RNA", at positions 30 to 410 of the family's 1533-position model. The record is from RNAcentral.